UAAGCUUGUCCGAAUGAGUCUUUAUAUUUCUCGCUUCCCAAAUCUUGUAGAAGGUAACAGCAAAAGUAAGAUAAAGGAUAAGCUUUGAGAGUUUCCUACCUUGGAAGGAGAUGAUGAACGAAGAGACACCAGUCCAGUCCAUGGGUACGUUAGACCAUUCACCCAAUUCAAGAGUUUUCUGCAGAAUGGAGGAGGAGUAUGGGCAUUCAAAGAAUAGAUGGUCAAAACUUUCAUCAUGUCGCUGACAGAGAAGGCAGGAGGAAGUUCUGCCAGACAAGUAGUGCCUAGUGAUAUCAUUAGUAGGAAGUUUUCUAAGAAAUCCCAACCACAAGAAUAAAGGAGAACCGGGGG
Molecule: long non-coding RNA, 351 nt
Filed under: Panax ginseng (ginseng)
Lineage: Eukaryota; Viridiplantae; Streptophyta; Magnoliopsida; Apiales; Araliaceae
Description: long non-coding RNA (PGIN_LNC011569)
Source: RNAcentral